ACGAAGGGAGCUAGCGUUGUUCGGAAUUACUGGGCGUAAAGGGCGCGUAGGCGGUUUGGUAAGUUGGAUGUGAAAGCCCAGGGCUCAACCCUGGAACUGCAUUCAAAACUGCUUGACUUGAAUUCGGUAGAGGUUGGUGGAAUUCCCAGUGUAGGGGCGAAAGGCGUAGAUGUUGGGAGGAACAGCCGUGGCGAGGGCGGCAAACUGGAACGGCAUCGACGCUGAGGCGCGAAACCGUGGGGAUGAAACAG
Molecule: ribosomal RNA, 251 nt
Filed under: uncultured prokaryote
Description: partial 16S rRNA
Rfam family: Bacterial small subunit ribosomal RNA
Source: RNAcentral